This is a long non-coding RNA of Prinia subflava (tawny-flanked prinia), 4434 nucleotides long. RefSeq lists it as uncharacterized. NCBI's taxonomy places the organism in Eukaryota, Metazoa, Chordata, Aves, Passeriformes, Cisticolidae. The record is from RefSeq and is a predicted model, not a curated record. The transcript has 7 exons.
AAUUUAAUUUUAUUUUAUUUUAUUUUACUUUAUUUUAUUUUAUUAAUUUAAUUCUGUAUUUCUAACUAAAGUCCACUAAAAUAAGCUCUAACCAUGUAUCUUACCUGACAGGGCAAGCUGGGAUGUCUCAAGAUCCCCUGUAACAGAGCUGGGUUAUGCUGUAUGUGCCAUGCAGUGGCACUUCACUGGUGUCCGUCAGCUUCCUCUUCAGGGCCUCCUCUUCCUCCUUGCUCAGUUUGGGGCCCUUCUGUUGGUCCAGGCCACAGAACCAGUUGUAAGCUUUCCUGCAGCACCCCGGCUCCUCCUGGUUUUCCUCAUUAACUGGAAGGAAUAACGCUCUGGUCAGGAAAGGUGAAUUCCCUCCAAGUGCUGGAGUCACACACAGUUCUGCCAACGCACAGCCCCUGUCCCAGAGCAUUCCCAUUGGUUUAGUCCUGGAGCUGCCACCCAGCUACCAAGAGAUUAAGAAUUUCUCCCUUCAAAUCCGCUUCACUUCUGAUUUACACUGAGCUUGAGAGAUUGCUCUGUCCUGCUCCUCUUCUGCAUCAAGAUCAAUCCGUUCCUCUUUGCUGUUCCGCAAGGACCAGCACAAGCGGUAAAGCUGCCACGGAACAAAAGGAGUUGAAUUGAUCAUGGGCUGACUACACAGACACCAAGCAGCCUGGCCAGCCCCUGAGCUGGCUGUAAGACCACAGCACCCCAGAGGUCUGGGAUGUCUGAGGCUGUCAGGAGCCACUGAAGAUCUGUGACAGGUGCUUGAUCAUUGGAACAGGCUGCCUAGAGACACUGUGGAGUCUCCAUUCCUGGGAUAGGCAAAAUCCAACUGGACAGGAUAGAAGUACCACCACCCUGAGGCAGAUGACGAUCACGGUGCUUUUUCCUGUCAUUCAUUAACUGCUUCACCUUGCUCCUCUCGAAAGCAAUUACAUGACAAGGGUCAUUAUCCUGAAAUGGCAGGGGAGAAAUCUGACAAACAAGAGUCCACUUGCAAAACAACUGCCCCCACCCUGAGUGUGGAAAUGCACUGAGGCUCUCCAGAAUUAUUCCAGGUGAGCCCUGGCUUGACACAGAAGAGAACUCAAAGCACAAGAGUAAAACAUCACACACAGCUUCAGCUGUUGCAGAACUGAGAUCACAUCUCUGAUGGAACUUUCUAUACUUUCCUUGGUUUCCUCAUGAUUUCAGCCCCAUUUGCUCUGUGUGAUGGACAUCCCACAGCCUGCUAAGCUGUGGGAAUUGGUGUUUUGGAAUCUCUUUUUAUCCAAGGCAAACUUUCCAGGGUGAUGCUGCUGACACGGUGUUUAGUUUGAGGUUUUGGAGUGCUUGCUCCUUGUUUAUUUUGAGUGAUAUGAGGAAGAACAGCAAGAAGGGUUUAUUUUUAUGGCAUGGGAAGACACUCUGGCAUUCCAAAGGGAAGGACUGAAGAGGAGAGCCAGGACUGCACUGAGGACUAGCACUUUGUCCGUGCUGAGCUCACUGAGUGUGGGAAGGAGGGAGGGAUCCUGGCAGGAGCUGUGGGUGAUCCCUGCUGGAUCCCCACUGGAGGAGCGGAGCCUGCUGAGUCUGUGGGGUUUGUGUUGGCAGAGGAGUCGCUGUCAGAUCCUCUCCCCCGAGGCUCAGGGGAAUCACUGGGAGUUCUCAGUGCCACUGGAGCAAGACAGAACUUUUCUGUGUGAGUCUCUGCUGCCUCACUGCCUCCAUCUGCAUUUACAUCUGCACAAAGGGAUAUUCUUACCCCUUGACAGGCAGGCAGAACUGCACAAGGUUAAAGCCAGCCCACUGAUUAAAGUGAGUUAAGCAGAGUAAUCUGUUGGGGUUUUUUCUCUUCUCCCAGAAUUAUGCAUUUUAUCUUAAAAUAACUUGGAAACUUUCUCUCUCCUCAGUCUUCCAAAGGAACCUGAAUUUUCUUAGAUCUACUACAUCAGAUGAAGAACCCUUUUACUGCCAUUGGCCCUUAAUCCUUUCCUGUCCUUAAAGAGGUUGUCCCAAGGCCUUCUAAAGGCAGAGAGCAGCUCUCUGAAGCACAAGACUGAAGGGUCUGCAGGAAUUUCUGCAGCCUACUUCAAGAAAAUUCCUAAAUCUUUAGGGAACCAAUACCUACUCUCACUCUUCUGGUCCUGUAACUGAAACAAGGUGUGUGGGGUCUUGACUCCUAAACCUUAAUGAAGCACAGAAACAUUUUCUGACACUGAAUGCAAGACCAGGAAUGUUGAGGAAUUCCAUUCAAACACAUGGAAUCAUGUAAAACACAUUUCCAUUUUCUGUAUUACAGUAAUACAGAAAAUGCAGGUUUGUCUAAGUUUCCUGCUUUUCAUAUUAAAGAGACUCUGUGAUCAAGAAGAAAAGUUAAUUGUUUUUAACAUACUUUCUGCCAAAGGCCUGAGGGAAUGGAUGGCUGAGAACACUUUGUAUCUAUGACUCCUGUUCUCUAUUGGAAGGUAAUAGAGAUCCAUAGAAGACAAUCAAUCUAAGCCACAACUAAUCUCUAAAUACAUUUAAAAUGCAUUUUACCAACAAUGUAUCAGAACAUUUCCAGGAUUUUUCUCCUUGUACAGACCAGAACUUGUUACUAAAAGUAGAAACAAUAGAGCAAUAAAGGGGAAACUUUCAGUAAAUUAAUUCCUGUCUGUGAUAACCUUAAAAUGAGCCAGCUUCUUUUAGUGCAAUGAAAAGAAUAGAGUCCAAAUGUUGAAAAGACUUUAAGUGAGAUGAAAGACAAAGCACUGGAUUGGUCUGUGCUGACAUUACCAAUGUAUUUAUGUCAAACACACUGAUCACAUUGUGCUGAACACAGACAACUUCCCCCAACACUCUCCCUGCCCACCCCGAGGCUUUGUUUGUGCAGUUUGCCCCGACACCACAGGUGGAGAAAGAGUUGGGUUUGCAGCCACACAACGAAGCCGUGACAGGCUCAGCAGUGUCACAGAGCCCUUGAUGUGAGGAGUGACAGUGCCAGGGACGCAGCUGCCCCUCCUGAGCUCUGUGUACACUCAGCACUCACCGGCCACCAAACCAUGCUCCGUCCAGCCAGGAAAAACCCACCCACUGUGCCUCGGUUGGUGGAGUACAUAGCCUGCAAAAGAGCAAAAAAGAAGGUUUAAAUCAUGUUUCAAGUGUACCAGGUAAGCUAUACAUAGGCUGAGAACAAACAGCUACAAUGAAGGGAUAAUAAAACACACGGGCAGGGUAAAGUGAAAGAAACUGAGUGGCUAAAAAGAACAACCUUAUGAGGAAGAAAAUAAUACAAUGGAACAACGAUUCUUUUAUCUAGGUCUGCAUUAGCCAUUCAAAUUUCAUUCCUUCAUUAUAGUGUGAAACACUAAUAAGAUUAAAUUUAACCAAGAAAAAUUACCACUCAAGUAAAAGCUCACAUGAAUUUUUCAUUGGGGUGAAAAGCCUUUUAUUUCAGACAUCAAAAUAGACUAUAAGGUGCAAACACUGUAAGUGUUUUUAUGAACAGAAAGUCUGCAGGUUUUUUACUCAGUACCAUCCUGCUCCUACAGGUAUCUGUUUUGUUGUUGUGAUAUCAGCAUUGUGGCUUAUUCCUUCUGAAGUUCCAAAAGAAGCCAGCUAAAAUUUCCUUUUCACAAACUUGUGCUGUUUUAAUUAAGAGGUGGGCUUUAGAGGGAAAUUUCCUCCAAUUUUUGUUAAUGACCCUGAGCCAUUGUUUACUGGAUUUCCAUUGUCUUCUCUGAUGGACUUUGAACAGGUAAAUAAAGAAAGAAGACCUGGAAAAAUUAGCCAUAUAUUUUCUUCCAUGCAGAAGAAAGGAAGUAAAUAUGAUGGAUUUACAUUUAACUACACACAGCAACUGAGUAAGUAUUUGUCCAAUAACGAUGUCAUCAUGGCUGGAAAGAAACGGCUCCAGGAAUUAACUCAGCACACAAAGGCCUGAGAAACCAGAGAUCAGCCCUUUGUUGUCAGAGCUUUAACAUAAAGUUCAAGUACAGCAACAGCCAGACUGUCAUGGCAAGGCCCAGCUCCCUCCUGCCAGGCAGCAACGUGUUCUGUGCACUGAGGUUUCAGAUUUUUGGCUAUAUUUUUGGUCUCUACUCCUAUGCUGAAGAGGCAAAGGAAAGGUUGUGUCCACUUCGUGCAAACCCUAAAUUUUUGGUGUCCUUCAAAAUAUUGCCAGGUUGCCAGAAAGCGAGGCUUGUUCUGCAGCUGACUUUUCUGCCCUGUGAAAUGUUCCUGGGAUGCUCCUGGAAAGCAGAGGAUUCCUGAGGGGCGAUCCCUCCUCUCUGCUCGUUAAUGGUCAGGUGUUCAGGUGACCGGGAGGGCUUGCCCCAGGGUAACCCGAAUUCAGGGCCAUUCCCCUGCUCCCGGCAUUGUAGCUCCGUGUGUUGGCCCGUUCUCCAAAACUCUCCAGCUCUGAGGUCCCGGCGCUGGGCUGGGAGAUGCCUCUGUCCCCCGGCGCCGUGAUCUCCUCUCUCC